This 76-nucleotide transfer RNA is filed under the name Methanobacteriota archaeon. RNAcentral describes it as "Euryarchaeota archaeon tRNA-Ala". It matches the Rfam family "tRNA". From Rfam's summary of the family: Transfer RNA (tRNA) molecules are approximately 80 nucleotides in length. Their secondary structure includes four short double-helical elements and three loops (D, anti-codon, and T loops). RNAcentral also lists the same sequence under 3 other names. Lineage: Archaea; Methanobacteriati; Methanobacteriota. The record is from RNAcentral.
GGGCGCUUAGCUCAGCUGGAAGAGCGCUUGGUUUGCAACCAAGCGGCCGUGGGUUCAAAUCCCACAGCGUCCACCA